UGCCUUUCGACUUUAGUAUGAAAGGUUCAUCCUGCCCAAUGACUCUUAGUUCAAUGGCCGCGGUAUCUUGACCGUGCAAAGGUAGCAUAAUCACUUGCCCCUUAAUUAGGGGCUGGCAUGAAAGGACACACGAAAGCUUCCCUGUCUCACAAUAAUAAAUAAAAAUUAAUCUUUAAGUGAAAAAGCUUAAAUAAAAUUGCAGGACAAGAAGACCCCGUUGAGCUUUAUUCUCUAUAGACCAAUCUAAAUAUUUAUUAUAUCAUAAACCUAAAAAAGAAUUUAGUUGGGGUGACUAAGGAACAUCAUAAACUUCCUCUAUCUAUUUAGGGCUAUUCCCCAAAAAAAUUGACCCACAAACCGUGAUCAAAAAAAUAAGCUACCACAGGGAUAACAGGCUAAUCUUUCUUAAGAGCCCAAAUUGUCAGAAAGGAUUGGCACCUCGAUGUUGGCUUAGGGGCCCCUAAUGGUGCAGAAGCCAUAAAAGGUAGGUUUGUUCAACCUUUAAAACCCU
Molecule: ribosomal RNA, 511 nt
Filed under: Seepiophila jonesi
Lineage: Eukaryota; Metazoa; Annelida; Polychaeta; Sabellida; Siboglinidae
Description: partial 16S ribosomal RNA
Rfam family: Bacterial large subunit ribosomal RNA
Source: RNAcentral